This 326-nucleotide ribosomal RNA is filed under the name uncultured eukaryote. RNAcentral describes it as "partial 18S ribosomal RNA". It matches the Rfam family "Eukaryotic small subunit ribosomal RNA", at positions 1470 to 1796 of the family's 1831-position model. The record is from RNAcentral.
CCCUUAGAUGUCCUGGGCCGCACGCGCGCUACACUGACGGAGCCAGCGAGCUUACCCCUUUGCCGAAAGGCAUGGGAAAUCUUUUGAAUCUCCGUCGUGCUGGGGAUAGAUCAUUGCAAUUAUUGAUCUUGAACGAGGAAUUCCUAGUAAGCGCAAGUCAUCAACUUGCGUUGAUUACGUCCCUGCCCUUUGUACACACCGCCCGUCGCACCUACCGAUUGAAUGGUUCGGUGAAGAUCUCGGACUUCGAUAUUUAUUCUUUAUUGAGUUUAUAUUGUGGGAAGUUAUCUAAACCUCAUCAUUUAGAGGAAGGUGAAGUCGUAACA